This 410-nucleotide ribosomal RNA is filed under the name uncultured bacterium. Its description in RNAcentral is "bacterial SSU rRNA". It matches the Rfam family "Bacterial small subunit ribosomal RNA", at positions 355 to 757 of the family's 1533-position model. The record is from RNAcentral.
UAGGGAAUAUUGGACAAUGGGGGCAACCCUGAUCCAGCCAUGCCGCGUGAGUGAAGAAGGCCCUCGGGUUGUAAAGCUCUUUUGUCCGGAAAGAAAAGCUUCGGGUUAAUACCCCGGGGUUCUGACGGUACCGGAAGAAUAAGCACCGGCUAACUUCGUGCCAGCAGCCGCGGUAAUACGAAGGGUGCAAGCGUUACUCGGAAUUACUGGGCGUAAAGCGUGCGUAGGUGGUUGUUUAAGUCUGAUGUGAAAGCCCUGGGCUCAACCUGGGAAUGGCGUGGCAAACUGGGCAGCUAGAGUGCGGUAGAGGGUGGUGGAACUCCCGGGGUGGCGGUGAAAUGGGUAGAGAUCGGGAGGAACAUCGGUGGCGAAGGCGACUGCCUGGACCAGCACUGACACUGAGGCACGAA